CUACGUGCCAGCAGCCGCGGUAAUACGGAAGGUCCAGGCGUUAUCCGGAUUUAUUGGGUUUAAAGGGAGCGUAGGCGGAUUGUUAAGUCAGCGGUUAAAGGGUGUGGCUCAACCAUGCAUUGCCGUUGAAACUGGCGAUCUUGAGUGCAGACAGGGAUGCCGGAAUUCGUGGUGUAGCGGUGAAAUGCUUAGAUAUCACGAAGAACUCCGAUCGCGAAGGCAGGUGUCCGGGCUGCAACUGACGCUGAGGCUCGAAAGUGUGGGUAUCAAACAGGAUUAGAUACCCUGGUAGUCCACACAGUAAACGAUGUAUACUCGCGGUUUGCGAUAGACAGUAAGCCGCCAAGCGAAAGCAUUAAGUAUACCACCUGGGGAGUACGCCGGCAACGGUGAAACUCAAAGGAAUUGACGGGGGCCCGCACAAGCGGAGGAACAUGUGGUUUAAUUCGAUGAUACGCGAGGAACCUUACCCGGGCU
Molecule: ribosomal RNA, 477 nt
Filed under: uncultured bacterium
Lineage: Bacteria
Description: bacterial SSU rRNA
Rfam family: Bacterial small subunit ribosomal RNA
Source: RNAcentral